This 211-nucleotide long non-coding RNA is filed under the name Elaeis guineensis (African oil palm). RNAcentral's name for it is "long non-coding RNA (EGUI_LNC079570)". Lineage: Eukaryota; Viridiplantae; Streptophyta; Magnoliopsida; Arecales; Arecaceae. The record is from RNAcentral.
GGCCAUAUGUUGUUGAUUUAGGAAAUGUCACAUGAUUUUUUUUAUAUUUUGAUUCCUUUUAAUCUUAUUCAUUCGGUGCUUGCUUAUGACCACCAAUUGAAUUAUUGAGAUAAGCUGUAAACAAUAAUAUAAAUAAGAAAAUCGAGAGUCAUCAAAAUUGUCAUCCCUAGCUUAGGAUUGAACUAUAAAGGUCUAAUUGAAUUUUCAUGAA